AAAGAGGUAGCUCAAGGGUAGAGCAAGGCAGUUUAGUUGUCGUGUGGGUUCGAAUCCCACUUCCAUUU
This 68-nucleotide transfer RNA is filed under the name Sphingobacterium detergens. Its description in RNAcentral is "tRNA-Pro". It matches the Rfam family "tRNA". From Rfam's summary of the family: Transfer RNA (tRNA) molecules are approximately 80 nucleotides in length. Their secondary structure includes four short double-helical elements and three loops (D, anti-codon, and T loops). Lineage: Bacteria; Pseudomonadati; Bacteroidota; Sphingobacteriia; Sphingobacteriales; Sphingobacteriaceae. The record is from RNAcentral.